CGUCUCUUGUAGGAUUCUUGCUCGUCGUUCAUCAUUAUUCCGCGAGACUUUAGUGAAUAGUGAAGACGAGCAGGAGCUCGAGAAGAGAACGGAGCAGAGCAAAGUCAACGACCGGUGGGAUUUUUAAUCAAGCAUCGAUCAAAAAAUUUCAGAUCGAGUACCACCGUCGAAUAAACUCAAGCGACUUCGAGAGAGCUGAGUCGAGAUUCGCCGUGAUACCAGUGAUUAAUCAUCAGAGGACUGUCUGAUACACGCUUAAAAGUUGCUGGCGAAAGGGGAGAAAAACGGUAGCCGAUUCGACCGAUCGCCUAACCGACCUUCCGUACCCACGGCGCCAUUUGGAUUCUUCUUCUAUCUUCUUCGUUGUGAAAAGCGGGAAAGCACUGGUACACACUUGCCCGGAAAAGUAAUGAGGAGUCAUCGGCCAUAAUAAGAUGCAACGGAAGGAGAACGAGGAAUUUGCCUUGCUUACAGUUUGCAAUCAUGAUGAUGGCGCAACAGUGUUUCAGUUCACAUUUUGUCGCCGGUAGAACGAACGCCUGUUCGCUUUGCGAUUCGCACAUGGCCGCGCAAUAAGAAGAUGGGUUAAGACCCUUGCACAAUGCGAAGCGAUAGCGAUAGGAACAAGAGAAUAGCGAUAGCGAUAGACGAUAUUC
This is a long non-coding RNA of Cataglyphis hispanica, 656 nucleotides long. RefSeq lists it as uncharacterized. The transcript has 4 exons. The record is from RefSeq and is a predicted model, not a curated record. Lineage: Eukaryota; Metazoa; Arthropoda; Insecta; Hymenoptera; Formicidae.